Molecule: long non-coding RNA, 42953 nt
Filed under: Malus domestica (apple)
Lineage: Eukaryota; Viridiplantae; Streptophyta; Magnoliopsida; Rosales; Rosaceae
Description: long non-coding RNA (MDOM_LNC008488)
Source: RNAcentral
GUUUUGCUUUAAGUAUGAUUGGCUAAUUUCGUUUUGGCUAAGGGUGGAUUCAAAACCAUGACUAUAUAUGUGAAAUAAGUUGAUCACUUUCAGUUAUCGUUGUAUAAGUCGUUUUAAUACAAUUUCUUAACCGUUUGAUUUAGAACUUAUUCUUGUAUGUUGGUUGAGAGUGCACGCUUAAUUUGCAUGCUUGAAUUUGAUGCUAGGAUAUAAGUUUGUUUCACCUAAUCGUUAUGAAUUUAUAUUCGUAAGUAGUGAAGGUCGCUAGUCACGAUCGUGUUAAGUAGAUUCCUGGCAAGAGUAUCAUGCUUUUCAUAGUUACGAAUGCCUUGUCGAUGCUUAUGAUUUCCAAAGAACGUAAUGAUUCUAACUUGUGUCUUUAUCAUGCUGUUCAUAUAAAGAACUUUUUGGGAAUAAUUUGUUUGCGAUGCAUAUUCAUCCAAUUCAAUGAUUCUAGGGAAAUCUGAAGGUUAAUUUAAGCGGACCUAAUUAACUUGGAGUGUCGAGAUUCAUAACUUAUUAAAUUGAUAACUGAAAAUUGAUUUAGGUUGCAUAUAUUUCAUGUGUGGAGAAGAACCCCUUAGCCAUUCCAUCAUCCAUUGAUUAUUCAUAACUUUGUGUUACAAUUUAUUUCUAUUACAAUCUGUUUUCCUUGCAAUCUGUCCAUUUAGUUCAUUUUCGUCCAAAUCAAUUCCCCAUUUAUUUUGAAGUCCUAGAUUAGUUAGAAAGUGUGUUGGUUUAUGUUUUUAAGUGUUUUGGUACAAGUUAAAACCCAAAUUCGUCCAAAUUGGUGCUUUGUGUUCAAAACUGCCCAAAAAGUGUUUUUAAGGCAGUUUUGAGUCUUUUAGUUGCUGUUUUGAGUUAUUGGUUUAUUUUAGUAUUUUAAAACGUGAGUUUUGCAUUCUUUGAGUCUAAUAUAGUGUUUUAAACUUUGUUUUUACAUUUCUAAGUCAGUUUUCAAGUGUUUAGCAAUCCCUCCUAAUCCCCGGUUUAGAACGAUCCCUACUUACAUACUUUGCUACAAUUGAUAAAAAGAGGGUUUAAUUUUGUGUGUUAACUUAUUUUUCACAUCAAAUUUUUGGCGCCGUUGCCGGGGAUUAGCAACUUUGCUAAUCUCUUGGAUUGUUUUCUUUCGAAUUAUUGUAUUUUGUUUAAGUUUCUGUUUAAGUUGCUGAUUUGUUUUGUUUUCUUUGUUUUUAGGUACUAGUGCAUGACUCGAAGUUCCCGACUUGUUCAUGAGCAUAUCUUAGACUUUGACGACGACUUCGAGAGAACUUUGAGAAGAAGGAGGAAACAACAGCACAAGGAGGAUCCCACGGCACAGUGGGUGGAGAAGAGCAAGGUAUAGCCAUGGACAACCGUACGCUCAAUGAGCUUGCCGCAUCGGGUUUGGAUAAUGCCGCACCAUUGUGUAUCCAAUAUCCCAUGGCUGCUCAAGGUAAAACCGAAGAGUUCGAGUUAAAGUCAAGUUUGCUCCACCACAUUCCAAAGUUCCAUGGGCUGUCCAUGAAGGAUCCGAACAAACAUUUGAAAGAAUUUGAAGUGGUGUGCUCAAGUAUGACUCCGGUUACCGUUGACGGAAGUAUUUUAAAGAUGAAGGCUUUUCCAUUCUCUUUAAUGGACAAAGCCAAGGAUUGGUUAUACGAGUUGGCUCCCGGUACAGUUACAUCUUGGGAGAGUAUGAAGAGGGCGUUUCUGGAGAAGUUUUUCCCAACUUCUCGCAUCAUUCUUCUUCGUAAAAAAAUAAGUGGAAUUCAACAAGAUGAAGGUGAGUCUUUUCCUACAUAUUAUGAACGAUUUAAAUCACUUGUUGCUUCUUGUCCACAGCAUCAGAUGAAGGAGGAAUUGCUUUUGCAAUACUUCUAUGAAGGGCUCCUACCACUAGAACGUCAAAUGCUCGAUGCCUCGGCGGGUGGAGCAUUGGUAGACAAAACGCCCAUGGCUGCAAAAAUCUUGAUUGCUAAUCGAGCAUUGAACGCUUAACAAUACGAGGGUGUAGGCCAAAGAGGACCCCCACGGCAACAAGUGCAUGAGGUAAAUUCCGCUUCCAAUAUUCAAUCUCAGUUAGCUAAUCUUACUUCUCUUGUUUCACAGAUGGCCGAGGGAAUGAAGAUUCAAGGACCCAUGGUGUGUGGCGUAUGUUCUAUCUAAGGACAUGCAUCCGAAAAGUGUCCUUAACUCAUUGAGAAUGGUGGAUGGGAGAGCGCUAAUGCCAUUGGGUUUCAAAGCCAAAAUCAGCCAAGACAUGAUCCAUAUUCCAACACGUAUAAUCCGGGGUGGAGAGACCAUCCAAACUUCAAAUGGAGAGAGCCACAACAAGCCCAACCACAAGGAGGCUUUAGGCAACAACCCCUGGGCUUCUACAACAAACCAUAUGCACCCCCUCAAGUCCAACCACAAUCUCCCCCAAAUAAUUCAGGUAAUGCUUUGGAUAAUGAUACACUUGUUAAGUUACUAACCACUUUGACUAAUGGGCAGGAAAAUCAAAACAAAAGAGUGGACCAACUAGAGAAACAAAUGGGGCAGAUUGCCGAGGUUGUUGGGCAGAUUAGAGACAAGGAAGGCUUCCUAGUUCUACCAUUCCAAACCCGAAGGGAGGCUUUGAAAGUGCAAAGGCCAUACUCUUGAGAAGUGGAAAAGAGAUUGGGGCAGGUUCUUCAUCAAAAACAGGUCACAAAGAGGAUGAAAAACUUCAAUUUGAGGAGGAGGAAGCAUGCCCACCCACGGCAAAGGUGGACACACCUAUGCCGCAAGCCCCUAUGGCUCCAAAUCUGUCCAAUUCAUCCAAUAAAGGUAAGAAUGUGUCAAAUUCGGUUUCUACUAAUGUUGUGCCUUCGAAUGCUCCUUUUCCUAGUAGGUUUAUGCAAAUAAAGAAAGAAGAAGCUGAAAAGGACAUCCUUGAGACACUUAGGAAAGUUCAAGUCAACAUACCCUUGUUGGAUGCCAUUAAGCAAGUCCCGAGAUACGCUAAGUUUUUAAAGGAGCUAUGCACCACUAGGAAGAGGAUUUCAACCAAGGAGGUUGUGAAGGUAGGUGAAAAUGUCUCCGCCAUCUUGCAACGUAAACUACCCCCCAAAUGCAAAGAUCCGGGUAGCUUUACAAUUCCGUGCGUCAUUGGUAACACUCGUUUCAAAUCUGCCAUGCUAGAUUUAGGAGCCUCUAUAAAUGUUAUGCCAUACUCCAUUUAUGUAUCUAUGAACUUAGGUGAGUUGAAACAUGAUGGUGUAAUCAUACAAUUGGCCGAUAGAUCUAACGCUUAUCCAAAGGGAGUGUUGGAAGACAUUUUGGUGCAGGUUGAUCAUUUAGUCUUCCCAGCAGAUUUUUAUGUGCUCGAAAUGGAUGAAUCGGAUCAUGCUUCUUCAUUGCCCAUCCUCCUUGGAAGGCCAUUCAUGAAGACGGCCCGAACGAAGAUUGACGUGUAUAGUGGAACGUUGUCCAUGGAAUUUGAUGGGGAAGUUGUUAAUUUUAAUCUUUUUGAUUCCAUUAAGUACCCUAGUGAGGACCAUUCAUGUUUCUCUAUUGAUAUAAUUGACUCUUUGGCGCAGGGAUAUCUUGAAGAUUUGAAUGACAAUGCGCUUGAAAAAGUCAUUACACGAGGAAUGGAACUCACAACCAAGGGGGCAGAUUCUAGUGUAACCCACGGCAUACAUGGACUAGGCCAUGUCGUGCUUCCUAGUGAUGAAAUUUUUGAGUUGGUUGCUGCCUUUGAGUCACUACCUAAGCAUGGUGGUAAGUCUCCUAACUUUAAUUCCAUUCCAAUUUCGACUAACAAGUUGCUUCCAUCCAUCGUUCAGGCACCCAUACUUGAUCUCAAACCCCUACCAAGCCAUUUGNCUUUAUCAAUAUGGCCGGCCAUAGGGUGUUAUUGGGCUGUUUGGGCCUUUGUGAAUAUUUAGUCUAGUUGUCAUACAACUUAAGUCAAUAGGCUUGACGUUCGAAGCCCAUUGGCCUUGAGCCCAAAACUAACCCGAGGUCUUUAACAAACUUUAUUCGUUGAUUAAUUAACAUAUUAAUUAAUCCUUGCCACAAAUAAUUAAACCAUUUAAUUAUCCUUUUCCCCCUAGAAAUCUAACAAAUUUAAUCCCUUUCUAGAAGCUUUGUGCUGAAUUUCCUAGUCUUAUUCCUCUAGGAUUGUGUAAUCCUUCUCCUCCACUACUUUGCACAAAACCCUAGCCUAUAAAUACACCACCCUUUACCAUAUUUUUCUACACCACACACCCAUAUAUUCAGAUAUAAUUGAGAGAAUUCUUGGAGCCUUUUGUCGUGCCUUGCCAUUCAACAUUGGAUUGCUGGAGCGUUCUUAGGUGUAUUCUAUCUUUGUUUUCAAUGUUUAAAUUUAAUUGUCUUUGUUUAAAUGCGAACAUGAGGAACUAAUUUCUUUAUAGUUAGAGGUGAAUUCAAAGCCAUGAUUAUAUGUUUUAUAAAAAUUGAUUACAUCCAGUUAUUAUUUCUUGAGUCUUGAAUGUGAUUUGGUUAUCUGAGUUAUUAAAACUUGUUUAUGUAUGUUGAUUGAGGAUGCAUACUUAAUUUUCAUGCAUGAACUUGAUGCUAGAGUAUAAGGGAGUUUCACCUAAUCGUUAUGAACUUAUAUUCACAAGUAGUGGAGGUUGCUAGUCACAAUCGUGUUAAGUAGAUCCUUGGCAGGAGUAUCAUGUUUUUCAUAGUUACGAAUGCCUCGUCAAUGCUUAUGGUUUUCAAAGAAGUUAAUGACCUUUGAUAUGUUUUUCUAUCAUGCUUUUCAUAGUUAGGGAACUUGAGAAGGAUAAUUUGGUUGUGAUGCGUAUCCCGUCCAAUUCAAUGAGUUAAGGAAAAUCUGAUGGUUAAUUUGUGUUGUCACAACUAACUUGAGGUGUUUUCAUUCAUAGUCUAAGGGAACAAUACUGGAAAUUGGUUUAUAUGCAUAUGUCAUGUGUGGAGAAGGACCCUCUAACUAGCCUUUUACCCUUUUUAAUUCACCAAAUUUGUUUUCUUAAAGUGUUUUAUGCAAAGUUUUUGUUUUAGGUUUUAAAUUCAUCAAAAACAAUCCCCUUUCAUUAAGUCUUGUUAGUUGAGUCAUAAUCGGUUUUCUUUUAGUCGUUUGAGUCAAGUUCAAUCUUAUUUUCGUCAAAACCACUUGUUAGGUCUAGAAUUGAGUCUUUUUUAUUGUUUGUUGCUAUUUUGAGUGUUUUGAGUCAAUUUUGAGUCUAUAAAGUCUAGUUUAGUGUUUAUGAGUCUUAUUUGUGUUGAUUAGCAGCCCUAGUUAAUCCCUGAUCUAGAACGAUCCCUACUUGUUUAAUACUACAAUUACAUGUUUAAUAGGGUUUAAUUUGUGUGUCAAGUUAAUUUUCACAUCAAAUUUUUGGGUCAUUUUAUAUGAAUAUGGUUUCUGAAACAGUUAUUGUUUUGUUUUACAAAUAUUGGAUUUGGUUUUGCAACAGAUUAAUAAAUAGUUGUAAUUGUUUGUAACAUUUUGUUGUUGUUUAUUGUUAUAUGCAUAUAAUAUUGUGUACUGAUUUGUAAUUGUUUGUUUUUUCGUUCAAUAGUUAUGGAGAAUAGUAAACUAGCUCAAUUUAUCAACUUCUACAUUCGGUCAGAUUUGUAUUGAUAUUUGUUUUAGGUUUAAAGGUUUGAGGCUUGGUUGUUUUGAGUUGCGAUAUGCUUUGAAUGAAAAAUCCUACUUGUCUCUUAGAUUGUGAUGCUGAUGUUAUGAAUAUGUUGAUAGUUCUCGAUGUUAUUGGAAAAUCCAUCGUAGAAAUAUUGGUUAUGGAUAAAUGUGAUGGUUUAAUAGUUUAGUUACCUACAGAUAGCGUAUCUUCUACGUGCCGUACGUUGGACUCUAUGAUUAUUGUUAGUGAAAAUGAUCAUUUAGGGAAGUAUGGUUCUCAUGGUAUCUAUAAUUAUAUGUCAUGUGAAUGACAUAGUUAUAUAGCAUCUGAGGGGCAAAUUUUUAGGGGAGGUUGUUUUGAUUUCUGUGAUAAAUUGAAGCAAUUUUUCUGUUGAAUGUGAUUUUGAUUUGAAGUGUUUGAAGUAUGACAAGAAUCACAUUAGUGUUGAGUGUUCUAGGAAGAAAUUUGAUGGUUGUCUUUGGUGUGUUUAUGCAUCCAAGUGUGAUACUAAUGACUUUUUCGUUAUUUGGAAGUUGCAUAAUGUGCAUACAUGCAAGGGUAUGAUUCAAAAGAAGAAAACAAAGUUGUUGGCCAUCAAUUUGUUGCAUCUCUCAUCAAGGAUAAGUUCAAUAAAAUCCUUUUAUUAAACCGAAGGACAUUAUUUCAAACUUAAAACAAUUUUAUGGAUUAGAUAUUGAUUAUGCUACUACAUACUUUGUGUGAGGCCUCCAGUUACGAAGAUUUUGUCUGCAAGACCAAAGAAAAGUAGGAUUAAAUCUGCUGGUGAAAUCAAUGGGACUAAGAAAAAUGUCACUUGUAGCACGUGUGGAUGUUCGGGACAUAACAAAGAUAGUUGAUUUUUUAUUUUUGUUUUGAGAGACGGGAGUUAUUGGUGAUAUAUAACAAAUUUUUUAUUUUGGAGAUUCUUUAUUUUGUUUUCGAUUGAUGUUUGGGAUUAUGUAAUUUUGGAUUUAGAAUUGUUCGAGUAUUAUAUAUGAAUGCAAUGUUUGAGUAUUUUCAGUUUUAUGAAACAGUAUUUUGAGUUUAAUAAACAGUUAUUAUAUAGAUCCAUCCAUAAAUAGCUAAGUUUAUGGCUUUGUGGUUUCAAUAUCAAUUUACUAGUUUGUUUAUGUAAGUAUAUGCGAGUUGAAUUAAAAGUUUAAAGUAAAUUCAAGGCCUUUGUGGUAGGCAACUAUGUUGGUUUUCAAUCUUGAUCUACUUGAUCUUCCUUUUUUUUAGCUAAGAGAAAACUAAAAAAAAAAAAAAAAAAAAAAAAAACAUGGCUUGACUCUUCAUCAAACUUCGACAACAAUUCGUUUAGAUUUAAAAUUAGUUGAUAGUUAAGUGUAAUGACUUUAAUUUUAAAAUAAACUCACAGUAUUUAAUAUGAGGUUUAUUGAUUUAGAUGAAACAGAUUUUCCAGUUUCAUAAACAAUUGUUAUUUUUUACGAAAUAGUGUUUACAGUUUAAAAAAUAGUUGCCUAUCAAUGCAUAAAUAUUUAUACUUAUUUAUAGAAAUAGCCAUGUUUAUGGCUUUUGAUGUUUCAACAACUUAUUAAUGUUAGUUUUCUUUUGGCCAUUUUGUACAUUCAAACAAAGCAAAUUAGAUUAAACUUUAGAUUAUGUGUCACAGUCCGUCCCGGAGAUGUACGUUAAUUAUUUAUCAGAGGUGUGAAAAGUCAAAAUUACCCCUGGACGUUGAGUUGUAUUAUUGGUUUAAUUGUGUUUUUGGACCAAUAUUCUUAAAUCCUAAUUGUUUGGAACCAAUUAGGAUUAGAGUUUGGUGUAUUGUGGGUUGUUGACUAUUUUGGACCACACAUCACUUCUCUCCAUUCUCUCUCUCACUCCCGUUCACUCUCUCUCUCGGUUUCACUCUCUCUCCUUCGAACUCGUACGGACAAUCACCCAAAACCCUUGAAACUUCACGGAUCGUGGUCAAAGUUGGCACCAUUGUGUUCGUGAAGUUCAGACAAGUCAAUUGGUACCCAUUUCAGGUAAGGAUACCUUCGAAAACCCUUGUUUUUCAAAACCCCCAAUUUGUGCACUGUUUAUGCACACGUAAUUAUGGAUGUUUUUGGGAAUUUGAAGCUUGUAGGAAGCUUAGUGAGGUCCUAAGGAAGCUCGGAGUGCUUUGUUUGAAGGUUUUGGACGUCGGGAUCGUGUGGACGGAGUUUGGCCGAUUUUUCUUGGAAUUCUCCGGUGAGAUCCUGUAACUUUUAGAACUUUUAAAUUAGUAUGAUUGUGUUCUACAAGUUAAGAGCUUCAUUUUGGUAUAAAUUGUGUGAAAAAUGGUGCAAAAAUGAGCGAGAAAUAGGCAGUUGCAGGUCUGCCAAGAAUUUGGCGUCGGUGACACUAUUCCGGCGUCUGGAGGUUGAAGAUGCCGCGCGUGGGGGGCGCGUUUUGCCGUGCCCUUGCCGCGCGUGGGCAGCGCGUGGGAGCUAGAAAAAUUUAUCUAAAAAUUUGGGGAUGAUCCUGAGGUUGUGUAGGUCACUAUGGUGUAUUCAUAGACCUAGUUUGAGCAAUGUAUGAGAAGUUAUUGGCUAGUUUCACCUAUGUGCUUUAAAAUAACGUUUUUAUAGUUAAUUCGCAUAUAGGUGAGGCUUAUCCCUAAGACGAGCGUAUCCACGGGGGACUCAGGGGCUACGAUCCUUCGACAUACUAGUGAGUGGGCUUUUGUUUUCAGUAUAUACUUAUAUACUUGAUAUAUUUCCCAGAAAUGCAUUUUUAUGAAAGUAUACUUUGAAAUAAUAUGCCAAAUGCUUUUAUAUUCUGAAUAUGCAUUUCAUGGUUGCAUAUAUAUAUAUAUAUAUAAAUGUGGUGUUGUGGAGGCACAGGUAAGUUCAGGUAAGUUAUGUUUGGUUAUAUGAAUCAUGGAUGAAGUAAUAUGUGAUUGAAUAAUGUUGAGCUAAUAAAACUGCACCUAGGGUGAUUGUGGUUUAGCCAGAGAUGUGAAGUACAGGCCUGUUUAUUUACGUCACCUCCCGCACUAUAUGCUCAUAUUAGAUCAACUUACGUGCACAGUCUUGUCGUACAGACCUUAUUUAUGGUUCCAACUCGUAGGUGAUUAGCGAUUUAUCGCCCGGCUAUUAUGAGAGAGUAAAGUUGAUCAUAAUUAUAUUACACCCAAUCUUAUCGUACAGACCCCUUUUUAGUCGUUUCGACUUAUGUGCAUUACAUUGCCAUAUAGGUCAUUGUAGUGACUCCGGCUAGAUUGACUUUUGAGCUAUGAAUUCAACCGUACAGAUGAUAGAAGCAUAUUUAUGCAACUUAGUUAGCUUGUUUCUUGGCAUUUACUUAGUUUAAUUCUAGUUAUGUUAGUACUUUAAGCUAUUUUCGUGUGUUUGUAGGUUCAAAUAACAAAGUCAGCAACAAAAUGCUAUUUGGAGCAUUUUUGGGCCAAGAUUGGAUAGUACAAGCAUGGAGACAUGAGGAUGGACGUUUUUGAAGAUUUGAAGGCUAGAAAUCAGCAUGUGUGUGUGCAACUGUGUUGACCUACAACUACAAACAUCCAUCCACUACACCCAUUACAUCCACUCAUUACCAAACAUCCAUCCACUACACCUAUUACAUCCACUCAUUACCCAACAUCAAUCCAUUACACCCAUUACAUCUACUCAUUACCAAACACUCACCCACUACACCCAUUGCAUCCACUCAUUACCACAACAGUCACCCACUACACCCAUUACAUCCACUCAUUACCAAACAUCCAUCCACUACACCCAUUACAUCCACUCAUUACUAAACACUCACCCACUACACCCAUUACAUCCACUCAUUACCACAACAUUCACCCAUUACACCCAUUACAUCCACUCAUUACCACAACAUACACCAGUACCACCUUAAUUAGAUGGUGGUCCUCUCCCUAGCCUAUAAAUACAUCCACUCUUCACCAUAACAAAGCGGGGGAGAUCCAUCCAAAGACAUAUUCACACAGACAGUUUAGGGAGAAGGAAGGAAGACAAAUUCUGCCGCAAGGCAGAGUCUUUUCUUCUUAACCAUUCUACACAUUCCCACAACAAAAAGACAAUUCCAUGCACCUUCAUUUCCCUUUCCUUGUCGUGACCUCUCAUUUCCCUUUCCUUGUCGUGACCUCCAUCCAACCUAAACACAUUCAGCCAUUCCCUUCCAUAUAUCCAUACGCAUCCAUCAAACCACACCUUGUGUUGCAACAAAGAGAAGAAUCAGGACCCUUGGACGUGCUUGCCAUUCAAGUUGGAUUGUUGGAGUGUUUUUAGGUGUUUUCAUUCCUUUGUUUUCAAUGUCUAAAUUUGUUUAUCUUUGCUUUGUAAGUAUGAGGAACUAAACCCCCCUUAGCUAAGGGGGAAUUCGAAACCAUGUUCAUGCUUGCAAUAUGAUUUGAUUACUUUCAGUUGUGAUUCAUAAGUUGUGAAUUCAAUUUACUUAUCCAUUUGAAUUAAAACUGAUUUGUGUGUGUUGGUUGAAAGUGCAUGCUUAAUUUUCAUGCAUAAAUCUGAUGCUAGGAUAUAAGGGAGUUUCACCUAAUUGUUAUGAACUUAUAUUCACAAGUAGUGAAGGUUGCUCGUCACAACCGUGUUAAGUAAAUUCUUGGCAUAAGUUUCAUGCAAUUCAUAGUUACAAGUGUUUCGUCAAUGCUUAUGAUUUUCAUAGAACUUAAUGAUUCUUGCUUAUAUCUCUAUUAUGCAAUUCAUGUAGGGAACUUGUGGGGAAUGCUUUGGGUUGUUAUAUGCAAUCAUCCAAUUCAAUGAAAUUAGAAAAAUUUGAGGGUUAAUUAAUGCAAUUCACAGUUAAUCUGGGGCGUUGAGAAUUCAUGGUUGAUUGAAAAGCAAUUGGACAUCGUUUUGUUUGCAAGUAUGUCAUGUGUGGAGAAGAACCUCCUAGCUAACCUAUCAUCCAUAGUUUUACCCAAAUUCGUGCAGAUUUCAUUAGCUCUUUAAUUUACUUGUUUUGUUUUCAAUUUCGUCAAAACCAAACCCCCCUUUACCUUGUUGAGUCAUAUUUGUUAGAAACUGAUUUAGUUUGUGUUUUUAAGUGUUUCGAACCAAGUUAAAACCAAAAUUUGUCCAAAAGUAGUUUAGAGUCCAAAUCUACACAGUUUGUGUUUUUAGGCAAAUUUGGGCGUUUUUAGCUUGUUUUGAGUCUUUUGAGUUUGUGUUGAGUUCUUUGAGUCUAGUUUAGUGUUUUUAACUUUGUUUUUAUGUUCUUAAGUCAGUUUAGAGGUUAUUAGGAAGCCCUCCUAAUCCCCGGUCCAAAAUGAUCCCUACUUACAUUCUUUACUACAAUUGAUACAAAAGGGUUUAAUUUGUUUGUUAAGUAAAUUUUCGCAUCAAAUUUUUGGCGCCGUUGCCGGGGAUUAGUAACUUUUGCUAAUCCCUUGUUAUUUCUUUUUGUAUAUUUUCGUGUCUUUUGUUUUUAGUUACUGACUUUGUUUCUGUUUGUGUUUUUUUUUUUUUUUUUUUUGGUUUUACUUUUGAUAUUUGAUUUAGUUUUGUUUCCUUGAUUUCAGGUACUAGAGAAGUAAGACAUGGAUUUUGCUACCAUUCAAGCUCAAUUGGUGAAACUUACUUCUCAAUUGUCACAAUAUGCCAAAAGGACCACAAUGGAAAGUGUCCCUAAAUAUGGUGUGUCCUAUGGGCAAGGAUAUCCAACUCAUCAAUGUUCUCAAUUUGCUACGAAUGAAGAUGCUUGGGGUUAUCAAGGCCAUAGCCAAUCAUGGGACAACAUGUUUUCCAACGCUUACAAUUCGGAUUGGAGAGAUUAUUCAGAUUACAUGUGGGGAGAACCUCAACAAUUCCAACAAGAUGGAUAUUGGUAGGAAGAAGAGGAGUUCUAUUCAAGACCUAUGCAGCGACCAUAACCUCCUCCACAACAAUUCCAAUCAAAUUCAAGUAUGUCUAUGAGUUAUGAUGAAAUUCUUGAUGUACUAACCUCUUUGACGCAGGGCUCACAACAAGAAGAAUAUUUGCCGCCAUCAGAUGAGUUCUAUCACUAGCCAUAUGAACCAUCACAGCCACUACAACAAUCUGCCCAAUUCAAUUCAGGUACGUCUUUGGAUUAUGAUAUGUUUAAUAAGUUACUCACCUCUUUGAACCAGGAAGUAGAAAAUUGAAACAAAGAGAUGCAAAAUCAAGCCAAGAAGACGGGUGAAUUGGAUAAGCAAAUUGGGCAGAUUAUGGAGUUCAUGGCACAAAUUCAAGAGCAAAGUGAACUCUCCAACUCAACUAUUGAAAAUUUGAAGGAAGAUUUUGAAAUCCAUGAUGCUAUCACUUUGGGAAGUGCUAUGGAGGUUGGAGGUGAACCCAAGACAUCCAAACCAAGCCAAAACAUGGAUGAACAGCUGCUGCUUAAAGAAAAGGAGAAUAACAAGGCCACGGCAAGGGAAAAACCACCCUUGCCGCAGCCCCAUAUGCCCUUUAUGCCUUCCACUACAACCAAGGUAAGCCUAAAUUCAAUUUGUCCUGACCCCGUUUCACCAAUUGUCCUUAUUCCUUGUAGGAUCAUGCAAUCCAAGGAAGAAGAAGGUGAGAAAGGCAUCUUCGAAACCUUUCCAAAGAAUCAAGAGCAAGAAGUGGAUAGAGAAUGUCUAGAAUUUAUCAAAGAAGAUACACUUGAGACGAAAAUUCCCAAAGAAGUUGGAUUUUAUGACAUAGGAAAAGUCAUAACUCUCAAAACACCAAAUCUAGCCAAGUCGCAUAACCUUGCAACCUUCAAAGAUGUGGUGUUCGUAAUUAAGUUUGUGUUGAAGCAAGCAAGUAAGCUAUCUUCUCCAACUUCGAUUUUAUUAUAUACUAACUUGCUGAUUUUGAUGAUUCAGGCACCUACACUAGAAUUCAAACCAUUGCCGGAUCACGUCAAGUAUCACAUUCCAUUCAAGGAUCAAUUCCAUGUUAUGGGCCCUAUCCAAGUUUAGAAGGAAGUUUCGUCCGGCUGGAAGACGUUAAAGCAAACGCUUCUUGGGAGGCAACCCAUGUAUUCAAAUGAGGAAGAUUUUUGAAUCGCUCCACAAUCAGUUUUGCGUUUCUAAAAAACCUUCCCUUUUCUGCAUUUUAUUUUGCCAUGAUUCUCAUUUUUAUUUGUUGCUCAUUUAAUUAUUUUUGGGUGUGGGUUUAUUUUUUGAGACAUUGACAGAUAUGCAAGGUAUUUUUACAUUCAUUUUCAUGAAAAAAAAAAGAACAUUAAGCAGAAAACACAAGAGGAAGCCUUCACAAAGGCUGCUUAGGAGAAGUCUCAGUAGUCGGCAGAGCCUCAGCAGUUGGCAGAGCCCCAGAAGGAGGAGGCAUCAAAGGUUGAUCAUUUGGAGCUUCAUUACGUGGUACAACCCCAGAAGACGAAGGCAAAUGCUAUUGGAACAAACCCACAAACCUCUUAUGAUCAAGUAAAAUCUGACCAUCAGAUUCCUGCAUCUGGUCAAUCUUCCUCUUCAUGUUUGUAGCAUAGUUAUGUGCGAGCUUGUGCAAUUGUUUAUUCUCAUGCUUGAGCCCUCUAAUCUCCUAUUUGAGACUCAUCACUUCAGCCGCCAACGAUUCAACUUGACGGGUUCGAGCAAAUAGGCGUUGGGCCAUAUUAGACAUAGAACCUGCACACUGCACACUGAGAGCCAGAGAAUCCUUAACAGCCAACUCAUCAGACCGUUUGGAAAGUAGUCUGUUAUCUUUGGGAGUGACAAGGUUCCGGGCCACCACCGCAGCGGUCAUAUCAUUCUUCAUCACCGAAUCCCCAACAGUAAGAGGACCAAUAGGGGAUAUGAAAGAUGGGCGCCAUAUGUUGUUUGGAGAAGGCAUGGCUGCCUCUUCACCAAGGAUCAAGUCAAAAUGACAGUCAAAGGGGCCAGACAUUUUCGAAGGUGUUGAAGAAAAAAGAGGUCGGACAAGUCAAGAUCGUAGAAGUGCAAGAAGGGAGUUUCUACAGGCAGAAAUUCAAGUGUGCUUGGAAACGUACUGCGCGUCUCUAUAAAAACUAGCACUAGACGGGAUUUUAGAGAUCGAAGAGGCGAGCUCAGAAAUCAAAGAGGCCAAUUCAAAAAUCGAAGAGGCGCUAGCUUUCUCAAAAGCUGGGCUUGCUCAGAAACCACGGGCCAAUCUUCUUUUCUAGAUUUGUCCGCACUUGUUAGAUACAACCUCUGCACUCGACAGAGCUCAGAACUCGAAGAGGCAAGCUCAGAAAUCGGAGAGGCAUCUGCUUUUUCAGAAGUGUCAGCAUCUGUCAUAUGCACACUCAGCUUUGCAGAUUGUCGAAGCGCCGAUUCCAGAUAUCGAAGAGGCACUUGCUUUUCCAGACGUGUCAGCACCUGUCACAUGCACACUCAGCUUUGCGGAAAUCACGGGCAGUUUGUCGAAGCGCCGAUUGCAGAUAUCAAAUAGGCAUCUGCUUUUCCAGACGUGUCAGCGCCUGUCACAUGCACACUCACCCUUGCGAAAAUUACGGGCAAUAUGUCAAAGAUUUCUUGUGAAGUAAAAGGCACGUGAAGUUUACUGUUAAAUCAUCCAACGUUGCCGACAAGAGUGAAAGAAUAGUACCGGUUAUUAAUUCCUAUAAAUGUCAACCUUCACCUUCCAUUGCAAGGCAGACAUACAUAACCUUUCUUUAUCUCCAAGAAUGCCUUCCCAACAAAGCCUCUCGAGUCACUCAGUGUUCCUUAUACCUUGGGGUACCUUUGCAAACAACUCAUCCAAAGAAAAAGUAUUUCAUAUCAUGAAUGUUGAAAGCAAGAGUAUCUCAUAUCUUGCUUUCUCCCUGUCCUUCUCCUUGUCGUUGUUUUCAUCUACGGGAUAAGGAGAAAGAGAGCAAUCAGCCAGCACUUGGUAUCAAUCUUUCGAUCUGGAACCGACUGCCUGGAACCCCUUCCUGAUUGCUUACCUAGCCUUGCUCUCAAGUACUCAUCUUCAACAUCUUAUGCUUCCUCUUCAUCUACCAUAUCUGCCUGGGGAACAGAUAAGGGAAGUGAAAAUGAUACCUCGAAGUAUGUGGAGACAAUGUGCUAAUUCAUCCUCAGCUAGGGACAAGGAGAAAGAAAGCAAAUGGUGGGCACUUGGAAAGAUUAAAGAAAGAAACAUACCAUCACCUCUACCUCGUGUCUGCCUGCCGUGUAGAAGAAACAAGCAAAGAAGAAUGCAGACUGACAAUCAAAUCAACCCAGCAGAAAAAGUUUGAUUUGAAACCAAGGAACUCUGAUAUUCCUCGCUCAGAAUUCCAAACCAGUUCGAGAUCAAAGCUGUGGAAAGUCGCCAAGAUCAUCUAUCUCCAAAACCAGAUUUGCGUUCUUAAACUCUACUCUAUCUAGUUUUUACUUUACCAUACUGGUCAUGUUUAUUCAUUGGUUGUUUGUUUGCUUGUUUUUAUGUGAGUUUAUGCUUGAAACAUUGAGGACAAUGUUUGAUUUAAGUGUGUAGGGUAACCAAGUUGUUUUGCAUGAAAUUCUUAGGAGUUUAUCACCCAUUACUUCUAGUAUUGUUCCUUGUUGUUUUUAAGUGUUUUUAAGCUGUUUUGGAGUGUUUUAGUGUGAUUUGAAAUAAAAAUCCGAAAAUCUCAUAAAAAUUUGAAAAAUUGUUUUUGAAAAAACCCAAAAAGAGUUGUUUUUGUGUGUUUUAUUUGUGUCUUAGGUACCUUCCAAUACAAUGAUGAGGAUUUGGCUUUUAAUUACAUGACUGUUUAAAGAGAGUAUAAAACAUGGAUAAAAUUUGAUUUACUCUUUUGGUGUAUGCUUGGUUGUGGUUAUAAUUUAUGAAUUCACAUGCAAUCAUAAAGAAAAAAUCAGUUUUUGUAACAUGCUUGAAGGAAGGAACUCAAAUGAAUGCUACAACCUUGUGAGACUUGAGCCUAAACGUUUAUUUGGAAAGUUAAUAAUUUGUGCAUCAUUGUUUUCUAAAGUCGUUGCAUGAUCUUAUUAUUCUUUGCUUGGUUGCUACUUAGAAGGCGUUUCAUCAUUUAGUUCCAAAUGCUAGAACUCAUGCCCAUUUCAUUCAAAGCAUGCUAUUGAUUUGCAUAACACAUAUUCAAGAUGAAGUUGUGUAGUGACCACCAAAGCCAAAUUGCCGUGCCCCUAUUUCAUUAUGUGUUUAAAUUUAACCCCGUUGAGCUUGUUAAGCCUAUGUUCUUUGUUAACCCACACUAUCCUUACCUAGCCUAGUUUUAGGAUCAUCCAUACCCUUGUUCUUGAAGCAUAGUAAAGCAUGACCUAAAUGAACUCCUUGUUGAUCAAUGUAUUGCAGAAAGCAAGUGUGGGGGAAGUGAUUCUUGUGUGUGUGUGUACCAGAGUCCUUAAUAAGGCACGGGUAAAGAAAAUAAAAAAAAAGGUCCAAAACAUUGGAUUCGCCCCUAAGUGUUGCAUGAAUCUUCCCUUUGUAUGUAAAAGUUGAUUCUGGAUUCUAAAGUGAAUUCCAAGUGUCUAUUUCAUUGCUUUGCUUGUUAUCGCUUUAAGAACGUUUGUUAUUCCUAUCCUUUCUUUGUUAGCCAUUACCCCCAAGCCCUGUUACAACCCUUGACUUCAAUCUUGAGUGUUGUGUGUUUCAAUUUGUGGAGUUUAAAAUUGGUAUGAGCAUAUGGUGUCACUGGUUCUCGCAUCUAAGUAGUAGCAUACCAUUCAUGAGAUCAUAUCUAAACAUGCUUAAUAACUCCAAAAAAUUGCUUCCUUUGUUAUAAGUCCUAGUCUCUAGUGUAGGGUGUGUAGUCAAAAAAUGUGUGCGAAAAUAGAGAGUAUUUUGUAAGGAAUUGAGCAAAUUCUCUAAGGCAUGUUACUACAUUCAAAACAUUGUUUUAAUUGGUUAAUUGUGAACUAGUAAGUAGUGACUGUGAUUAAGUUUGUGCUCAAGUGUGAAGAUAACCAAAAUCUGCGGGAAUGAUUAUUUUUAACAUGUCAUGUGCAUUGGAAAUCCCUGAGGCAAAUGUUAAAAGGUUAGGUUGUGUUUUGUUUGUUUUGUUUCGUUUUGUUUCUUUUGUUUUGCUCGAGGACUAGCAAAAUCUAAGUGUGCGGGAAUUUGAUAGGAGCAUAUUUAUGCAACUUAGUUAGCUUGUUUCUUGGCAUGUACUUAGUUUAAUUCUAGUUAUUUUAGUACUUUAAGCUAUUUUCGUGUGUUUGUAGGUUCAAAUAACAAAGUUAGCAACAAAGUGCUAUUUGGAGCAUUUUGGAGCAUUUUUGGGCCAAGAUUGGAAAGUGCAAGCAUGGAGACAUGAGGAUGGACAUUUUAGAAGAUUUCAAGGCUAGAAAUCAGCAUGUGUGUGUGCAACUGUGUUGACCUACAACUACAAACAUCCAUCCACUACACCCAUUAUACCCACUCAUUACCAAACAUCCAUCCACUACACCCAUUACAUCCACUCAUUACACCCAUUACAUCCACUCAUUACCAAACAUCCAUCCACUACACCCAUUACAUCCACUCAUUACCAAACAUUCCCCCACUACACCCAUUACAUGCACUCAUUACCACAACACUCACCCACUACACCCAUUACAUCCAUUCAUUACCAAACAUCCAUCCACUACACCCAUUACAUCCACUCAUUACCAAACACUCACCCACUACACUCAUUACAUCCACUCAUUACAAACAUUCACCCACUACACCCAUUACAUCCACUCAUUACCACAACAUACACCACUGCCACCUUAAUUAGAUGGUGGUCCUCUCCCUAGCCUAUAAAUACAUCCACUCUUCACCAUAACAAAGCGGGGGAGAUCCAUCCAAAGACACAUUCACACGGACAGUUUAGGGAGAAGGGAGGAAGACACAUUCUACCGCAAGGCAGAGUCUUUUCUUCUUAACCAUUCUACACAUUCCCACACCAAAAACACAACUCUAUGCACCUUCAUUUCCCUUUCCUUGCCGUGACCUCUAUCCAACCUAAACACAUUCAGCCAUUCCCUUUCAUAUAUCCAUACGCAUCCAUCAAACCACACCUUGUGCCACAACAAAGAGAAGAAUGAGGACCCUUGGACGUGCUUGCCAUUCAAGUUGGAUUGUUGGAGCGUUUUUAGGUGUUUUCAUUCUUUUGUUUUCAAUGUCUAAAUUUGUUUAUCUUUGCUUUGUGAGUAUGAGGAACUAAACCCCCUUUAGCUAGGGGGGAAUUUGAAACCAUGUUCAUGCUUGCAAUAUGAUUUGAUUACUUUCAAUUGUUAUUCAUAAGUUGUGAAUUCAAUUUACUUAUCCAUUUGAAUUAAAACUGAUUUGUGUGUGUUGUUUGAGAGUGCACACUUAAUUUUCAUGCAUAAAUUUGAUGCUAGGAUAUAAGGGAGUUUCACCUAAUCGUUAUGAACUUAUAUUCACAAGUAGUGAAGGUUGCUCGUCACAACCAUGUUAAGUAAAUUCUUGGCAUAAGUUUCAUGCAAUUCAUAGUUACAAGUGUUUCGUCAAUGCUUAUGAUUUUCAUAGAACUUAAUGAUUCUUGCUUGUAUCUCUAUUAUGCAAUUCAUGUAGGGAAUGCUUUGGGUUGUUGUAUUCAAUCAUCCAAUUCAAUGAAAUUAGGAAAAUCUGAGGGUUAAUUAGUGCAAUUCACAGUUAAUCUGGGGCAUUGAGAAUUCAUGGUUCAUUGGAAAGCAACUGGACAUCAUUUUGUUUGCAAGUGUGUCAUGUGUGGAGAAGAACCUCCUAGCUAACCUAUCAUCCAUAGUUUUACCCAAAUUCGUGCAGAUUUCAUUAGUUCUUUAAUUUACUUGUUUUGUUUUCAAUUUCGUCAAAACCAAACCCCCCCCCUGACCUUGUUGAGUCAUAUUAGUUAGAAACUGAUUUAGUUUAUGUUUUUAAGUGUUUCAAACCAAGUUAAAACCAAAAUUCGUCCAAAAGUAAUUUAGAGUCCAAAUAUGCCCAAUUUGUGUUUUUAGGCAAAUUUGGGCGUUUUUAGCUUGUUUUGAGUCUUUUGAGUUUGUUUUGAGUUCUUUGAGUCUAGUUUAGUGUUUUUAACUUUGUUUUUAUGUUCUUAAGUCAGUUUAGAGGUUAUUAGCAAGCCCUCCUAAUCCCCGGUCCAGAACGAUCCCUACUUACAUUCUUUACUACAAUUGAUACAAGAGGGUUUAAUUUGUGUGUUAAGUAAAUUUUCACAUCAACAGACUACCACAGGGGUUCCGGCUAACAUAUCAUAUUUCUAUGAAUUUAUUCUAACCUGAAUUGCUUACUCUGUUAUAUCUUGGCAUAGCAUACAUUUGAAUAUGAUUAUGUGAAGCCUGAAUUGAAUUGAUAUGAUUUCAUAUAUAUAUAUAUAUAUAUAUAUAUAUAUAUAUAUAUAUAUAUAUAUAUAUAUAUAUGUAUAUGCUUAUAUCUCGAUUCUAGGGAAAAUUAUACAUGUUUUACAGCGAGGGGUUAGAUAUGUUGAUAAAUGAAAUGAUUUUGUAAAACAUUUGUUUUUGCCCACUCACGUUUUCUAUUUUGCGCCCCUCUAGGUUUUAAGUAAGCUUGUUGUUGGUGGCUUGAAGACGUCGGCAGUUCUGACUUAUCUAAAUAAUAGUAGGACAUUCUUGGUACUGUAUAAUUAGUACUUGUCCUACUGGAUUGCACCUAGACUUUAUGCUCUGAUUAGGAGUGUUUACUGUUGUAACUAACUCCUAUCACUUUCUGUUUAGUAAUGCACUCUGUUGAAUCAUGUGGAGAAGACCUUUCAGGUGAUGCAAAGUCAGGGGAAUCUUUCUUCUGAUAGGUGGGUCGAGACGACUACCUGGUUUUUGGGAGAAUAGCCUGCAUCCUGGUGGAGACAAGAGUCUUACCAAAUGACCCCAGAAGAGAUUGUGGACUGGGGAGUGUUUAAGAAGCUGUUUCGAAAAAGGUUUAUUCCUUCUGCAUAUAUCGAUCUUAAGAAACAAGAGUUUACUCAUCUGAGGCAAGGAAAAAUGUUCGCUAAUGAGUAUUAUAGGAUGUUUACUGAUUUGUCGAGAUAUGAUCUGGAGGUUGCUGCUAAUCCGGUAGAGAUGCUUCGCCAUUUCAGUUUGGGUACUAAGAAGAAAUGGCGUUCCAUAGCGACAUCGACUCACUGUGCCUCUUACCAGGAGUUUUAUAAGAUUCUACUGAGGAUUGAGGCCUCAGAGAACAUGCCUAGUGAAAGUGAGGAUGAGGAAGGAAAGAAUGGAGGCCAGAGACAAGAUGACAAAUGAAAAGGGCAAGCAUUUCAGGGACCUCGCAAGACCCAGAACUUUAAGAUGAGUGGUGGCAGUUUCAGUUCUUCUAGCGGAGGAUUGAGUACUAAUAUGCAGAGGAGAGGUGGUAGAUUCACUGGAGGUCCGAGGUUCCAGAGGCAGAGAGAUUUUGGUGGUUCAGGUGGAUCUGGUACUCCCUUAUGUCGCAGGUGUAAUAAUCGGCAUUUUGGGGAGUGUAGGAGAGGCAACAAUGGAUGUUUUACUUAUGGUCAGAUGGGUCAUCGGGCUGCCCAAUGCCCUCAGAGUCAAUAGAGACCCCAGCAGCCUUCUUUCCCACCACCUGCACCGACCCAGCAAACAUCAGGAUAUGGUGGUUAUUCUCAGACUGGACGAGGAGGUGCCUACCACUAUCAGGUCAAUGCCGCUCCUUACACCUCAGGACAACAACAGUACUCUCAGGAUCCUCAGUAUCAUAGUGGGUACCCUCCGUAUCAGGGAGGAUCUAUGUCUUAUCAGCCUCAUUCAGCCGGAGGAUCUCAGUGGUACCAAGGGGGAUAGCCCCAACAAGGAGAAAUUGUUGCUAGUAGUGCAAGAUCUUCGAGGCAAUCGGGUCAAUAGAGGCAGGGACGUGGUAUUCAUGCCAACAGAGGUCGCGGUGGACGGCAGCAGAAUCAGGGGUGUAUCCACAACAUGUCACUGCAAGAUGCCCAGAAUAAUCCAGAUUUAAUCAUGGGUACAUUAAAUAUUCUUGGUCACUUUGCUAGAGUAUUGAUUGAUUGUGGUGCUACACAUUCUGUUAUUUCUCAUGCAUUUGCUCAAGUGACACAACCUCAUCCUACAUCUCUAGGAUAUAAUUUAGAAUAUUCUAUACCUAUAGGGGAUAAAUGUUUUGUGGAUCGGGUAUAUCCAGGAUGUCCAGUGAUAGUAGAGGAUAUUAUUAUGCCGGCUAAUCUUAUGUCGUUAGAUAUUAUGGAUUUUGAUGUGAUUUUGGGCACUGAUUGGUUACACUAUAAUCGUGCCAAGAUAGAUUAUUAUGGGAAGACAGUCACAUUUCAUUGUCCUGGAUUACCUGAAGUUACAUUUGUAGGAGAGCCUAGUGGGGUGAGGCAUGGUAUUAUUUCAGCCAUGAAAGCAAAAAGAUUGUUGUCGAAAAGUUGUCAGGGAUAUUUGGCUCAUGUGGUGUUAAAUGAUGAUGCUCCUAGUAGUGUGGAGGAUGUUCGUGUGGUCAGAUAUUUUCUGAAUGUAUUCCCUAAGGAUUUGCCUGGAUUGCCGCCAGAUAGAGAGCUGGAGUUUGUUAUUGAUCUGCUUCCAGGUACGAAUCUUAUAUCUUUGACUCAUUACAGAAUGGCUCUUGCUGAAUUAAGAGAGCUGAGAGUGCAAUUGCAAGAGUUAGUGGACAAAGGUUUUAUUCAGCCGAGUACUUCACCUUGGGGAGAUCCAAUUUUAUUUGUGAGGAAGAAAGAUGGAACUUUGAGGCUGUGCAUUGAUUACAGGCAAUUGAAUCAAGUAACCAUUAAGAACCGUUAUCCAUUGCCUCGUAUAGAUGAUUUAUUUGAUCAACUCAGAGGUGCAUGUGUAUUUUCUAAGAUAGAUUUGAGGUUAGGUUACUACCAGUUGAAUAUUAAAAAUGAAGAUGUCUCUAAAACCGCAUUCAGGACUCGAUAUGGUCAUUAUGAGUUCCUUGUGAUGUCAUUCGGGUUAACUAAUGCACCAGCAGCUUUUAUGGAUUUGAUGAAUCGAGUAUUCCAGCCAUAUUUGGACAGGUUUGUUAUUGUCUUCAUUGAUGAUAUUCUGGUAUACUGUAAUUCUAAGGCUGAGCAUGCUAGACAUUUGAAGUUGGUGUUGAGCAGUUUGAGAGAACACCAACUAUAUGCUAAGUUUAGCAAAUGUGAAUUUUGGUUGAAUCAAGUGGCAUUUUUGGGACAUGUCAUUUCUGCUCAAGGCAUUCAAGUGGAUUCACAGAAAGUAGCAGCUAUGGAUAAUUGGGAGCAACCUCGAACCAUCAUCGAGGUACGGAGUUUUCUUGGCUUAGCAGGUUAUUAUAGACGGUUCGUUAAGGAUUUUUUAGUGAUUGCUCUGUCAUUGACGAGGUUAACUCGAAAGGAUGUUAAGUUUGAGUGGGAUAAUAAAUGUGAACAAAGUUUCCAGCAGUUGAAGUACUAUCUCACUCAUGCUCAUGUUCUAGCACUUCCAGAUGAUAACGGUAAUUAUGAGGUUCAUAGUGAUGCUUCUCUGAGUGGUUUGGGUUGUGUAUUAAUGCAUCAUGGUAGGGUGAUUUCUUAUGCUUCGAGACAGUUGAAACCUCAUGAGAAGAAUUACCCUACACAUGAUUUGGAGUUAACCGUUAUCAUCUUUGCCUUGAAGAUUUGGAGACAUUAUCUUUAUGGUGAGAAAUGUAAGAUCUUCACAGAUCAUAAGAGUCUUCAGUAUCUGUUUACUCAGAGAGAUCUUAAUCUUCAUCAGCGAAGGUGGAUUGAGUUACUUAGUGACUAUGAUUGCACGAUUGAGUAUCAUCCUAGUUGUGCAAAUGCAGUGGCGGAUGCACUUAGUAGAAAAACUCCAGCUAGACUUAAUGUCAUCUAUGAUUGUCAUGUUCCUCUUCUAGCAAAUUUAAGGUCCACUGGAGUGGAGUUAGGAGUGGAAGAUCGAGAAGAAGCCUUGCUUGCUAAUUUCCAGGUUAGACCAAUUUUAAUUGAUCGUGUGCUUGAAGCUCAAAUGAAUGAUGAAAAGACCCAGGAAAUAAUUCAAGCAAGAAAUCAAGGCAAAAAGAAAGAUUUCGAAAUUCAAGAAACCGAUGGCAUGCUUAUGCAGGAAAGCAGAAUGUAUGUGCCGAAUAAUACAGAGUUAAAGAAAGAAAUUUUGGAUGAAGCAUAUAUUUCGGCAUAUGCAAUGCAUCCAGAAGGCACUAAGAUGUAUCAUACCAUUAGACCAUUUUAUUAUUGGCCGGGUAUGAAAAGAGAAAUUGCCGAAUAUGUGAGUAGGUGUGCCAUUUGCCAACAGGAUUAAGCUGAAAGGAAGAAGGCAUUUGGUUUGAUGCAGCCAUUUCCCGUUCCACAGUGGAAAUGGGAAAAUAUUACUAUGGAUUUUGUGUACAAGCUUCCUCGUACACGGAAUGGAUAUGACGGCAUUUGGGUGGUAGUUGAUCGGCUUACAAAGUCAGUACAUUUUAUUCUAAUGAGGGAGAAGUAUUCGUUAAGCCGAUUAGCUAAGUUAUUUAUAUCACAAAUUGUGAAGUAUCAUGGUGUGCCAGUUAAUAUUAUCUCGGAUCGGGAUCCUAGAUUUACUUCCAAGUUCUGGAUAGCAUUCUAGGAAGCUCUUGGUACAAGAUUGCUUUAUAGUACGUCAUAUCACCCUCAGACUGAUGGACAAUCUGAGAGAACUAUUCAAACAUUAGAAGAUAUGUUGAGAUCUUCAGUGCUGCAGUUUGGAGAUAGUUGGCAUGAUUGUUUGGAUUUGAUGGAGUUCACCUACAACAACAGUUAUCAUUCAAGUAUUGGUAUGGCACCAUUCGAGGCACUUUAUGGGAAAUCUUGUCGUACGCCUCUAUGUUGGUCAAAGGUUGGCAAAAGAGUUUUACUGGGCCCUGAGAUUGUGGAUGUGACUACUCAAAAUGUUCAGGUAAUUAAGACUACUCAAAAUGUUCAAGUAAUUAAGUCUAACCUGAAAGCGGCCCAAGAUCGACAAAAGAGCUUAGCAGACAAGCAUGUCACUGAUCGGAAAUAUGAUGUAGGUGAUUGGGUAUUUCUGAAGCUAUCACCUUGGAAAGGUGUAGUACAAUUUGGAAAGAAAGGAAAGUUGAGUCCAAGGUUCAUUGGACCAUAUAUUAUCACCGAGCAAGUCGGUGAGGUUGCUUACAGGCUUGAGUUGCCUCCAGAGUUAUCCAAGGUGCACGAUGUAUUUCAUGUUUCGAUGCUUCGGCAUUAUGUUUCAGAUCCUUCACAUGUGAUUCCUCCUCAACCUUUGGAAAUCAAUUCGGACUUGACUUAUGAUGAGGAGCCAAUGACUCUGUUGGAUUGGAAGGAUAAAGAACUAAGAAAUAAGAUAGUACGCUUGGUGAAAGUUUUAUGGAGAAAUCAUUCAGUGGAAGAAGCUACUUGGAAGACAGAUGAUCGGAUGAGAGAGAUGUAUCCAUGCUUGUUUUAUGAUUAUUAGUGGAUGUAUUGGUUGUAUAUAAUUUCGAGGACGAAAUUUUAUAAGGUGGGGAGAUUAUCACAGCUCGUCCUAGAGAUGUACGUUAAUUAUUUAUCGGAGGUGUGAAAAGUCGGAAUUACCCCUAGACGUUGAGUUGUAUUAUUGGUUUAAUUGUGUUUUUUGACCAAUAUUCUUAAAUCCUAAUUGUUUGGAACCAAUUAGGAUUAGAGUUUGGUGUAUUGUGGGUUGUUGACUAUUUUAGACCACACAUCACUCCUCCAUUCUCUCUCUCACUCCCGUGCACUCUCUCUCUCUCUAUUUCACUCUCUCUCUCCUUCGAACUCGUACAAACAAUCACCCAAAACCCUUGAAACUUCACGAAUCGUGGUCAAAGUUGGCACCAUUGUGUUCGUGAAGCUCAAACGAGUCGAUUGGUACCCAUUUCAGGUAAGGAUACCUUCGAAAACCCUAGUUUUUCAUAACCCCGAUUUGUGCACUGUUUAUACACACACGUAAUUAUGGAUGUUUUUGGGAAUUUGAAGCUUAUAGGAAGCUUAGUGAGGUCCUAAGGAAGCUCGGAGUGCUUCGUUUGAAGGUUUUGGAUUUCGGGAUCGUGUGGACGAAGUUUGGCCGGUUUUUCUUGGAAUUCUCCGAUGAGAUCCUAUGACUUUUAGAACUUUAAGUUAGUAUGAUUGUGUUCUACAAGUUAAGAGCUUCAUUUUGGUAUAAAUUGUGUGAAAAAUGGUGCAAAAAUGAGCAAGAAAUAGGCAAUUGCAGGUCUGCCCAGAAUUCGGCGUCGGUGACACUAUUCCGACGUUUGGAGGUUGAAGAUGUCGUGCAUGGGGGACGCGUUUUGCCGUGCCCUUACCGGCGCAUGGGAGCCUGAAAAAUUUAUCUAAAAAUUUUGGGAUGAUCCUGAGGUUGUGUAGGUCACUAUGGUGUAUUCAUAUACCUAGUUUGAGCAAUGUAUGAGAAGUUAUUAGCUAGUUUCACCUGUGUGCUUUAAAAUAACGUUUUUAUAGUUAAUUCGCAUAUAGGUGAGGCUUAUCCCGAGGACGAGCGUAUCCACGGGCGACUCAGGGGCUACGAUCCUUCGACAUACCAGUGAGUGGGCUUUUGUUUUUAGUAUAUACUUAAAUACUUGAGCUCAAGUAAGUUAUGUUUGGUUAUAUGAAUUAUCGAUGAAGUGAUAUGUGAUUGAAUAAUAUUGAGCUCAUAAAACUGCACCUACGGUGAUUGUGAUUUAGUCAGAGAUGUGAAGUACAUGCCUGUUUAUUUACGUCACCUCCCGCACUAUAUGCUCAUAUUGGAUCCAACUUAAGUGCAUAGUCUUGUCGUACAGACCUUAUUUAUGGUUCCGACUCGUAGGUGACUAGCGAUUUAUCGUCCGACUAUUAUGAGAGAGUAAAGUUGAGCAUAAUUAUAUUACACCCAAUCUUGUAGUACAGACCUCUUUUUAGUGGUUCCGACUUAUGUGCAGUAUAUUACCGUAUAGGUCAUUGGAGUGACUCCAGCUAGAUUAACUUUUGAGCUAUGAAUUCAGCCGUACAGACUACCAUAGGGGUUCCGGCUAACAUAUCGUAUUUCUAUACAUUUAUUCUUACCUGAAUUGCUUACACUGUUAUAUCUUGGCAUAUCACACAUUUGAAUAUGAUUAUGUGAAGCAUGAAUUGAAUUGAUAUGAUUUCAUAUAUAAAUAUAUAUAUAUAUAUAUAUAUAUGUAUGUAUAUGCUUAUAUCUUGAUUCUGGGGAAAAUUAUAUAUGUUUUACAGCGAGGAGUUAGAUAUGUUGAUAAAUGAAAUGAUUUUCUAAAACAUUUGUUUUUGCCCACUCACGUUUUCUGUUUUGCGCCCCUCCAGGUUUUAUGUAAGCUUGCUGUUGGUGGCUUGAGUAUAUCGGCAGUUCUGACUUAUCUAAAUAAUAGUAGGACAUUCCUGGUACUGUAUAACUAGUACUUAUCCUACUGGACUGCACCUAGGCUUUAUGCUCUGAUUAGGAGUGUUUAGUGUUGUAACUAACUCCUAUCACUUUCUGUUUAGUAGUGCACUCUAGUAAAUUGGUUUUCAAUUAUUCGUAUAAUUCUUAUCAUUAUUGCUUCCGCACUGUGCACAUGGCUACGUCACUCUCACAUGACGGCCAGCAUACCUUGAUCUCGGUCGGGAUGUGUCAUUAUGAAAUGAAACAUAUAUAUAGGUUUUUUUUAUGAGAAAUAAAUUUAUUAAAUAGGGAAACUUCCAGACCAACCAGUACCGAUACAGUCAAAGUUAAAAGCUACUAAAACUGAAGUAAGGAGACAAUGGUCCCAAAAGUGAGGGUUCGAAACCGCCACCCCCACAUCAGCCAUCUUAUUAGCCACAAAGUUGGCUUCCCUAAAUAUAUGCCUCCAACGAAUAGAGUGAAAACUAGUAGCCAGCCAUUUAAUGUCUUCGAUAGUAGAAAGGAGAUGCCAAUAGGGUUUCCAUAUCCCAGUCACUAGAUUUAUAUUAACAGGGAGUCACCUUCAACCUCCAGCCUCUUGAUGUCUUUCCGUCUUGUGAAUAAGAGGCCCUCCUAAAGGGCCACAGCCUCCGCAACCGAGAUAGUGGCCCCAUCCAAAUUGCAGGCCCCAGCUCCCACCGUCAAUCCCUAGUCAUUUCACACCACAAAACCCACUCCAGCCUUUCCUUGAGUCUCCGACCCAUCAAAAUUUAAUUUUAACCAACCCUAAUCAGGGGACCUCUAGCGAAUAAGGCCUUGAUGCAACAACAAAUUUGACUCCACAAUCUUGGCAUUUGAUUAAAAGUAAUCCAGUCCUAACUUGGCAGCAACGGACACACAUCUUGGCAGGAAUAAGGCCACACUGCGAAACACCGUAUUAUUCCUUUCAUUCCAGAUUUGCCAGCAAUGUAAAAGGGGUUUAUUAAGUUCCAAUAACCCUUUUUUGUAGAGCUGUAGAGAAAAUUAAGCCGCCCAAUAGCAUUAUUCCAAUGGAUUGAAUUAUUCGACCAAGGACAUAAAGAGGACAACGUCUACACGUUUUUUUGCAAACUCACAAUUAAGAAACAGGUGCGUUUGAUUUUCCUCCUCCGUACCACAAAUAGGGCAAGACUUAUCUAAAGUACGAAUAAACCUGCCAAGUCUGUCUUUUGUAUUCAAUUUACCAUUGAUCAAAAUCUAAGCAAAGAUUUUAACUUUGGCAGAAUCGUUAGCUUCCACAUUUGCUUGAGCAAUUUUUUCCAGUUGACAGUUUGGUUACUAUUCCUUUGAAUCCCGCUGAUUUAAUAGAGAACUCUCCAGAAGAAUGAUCACAAGACAAAUUUUCUUGACAAUAUCAGCAUCCAGAAUACUUAAUAAUUUAUUCAAAAAGUCACUUACCCAUAAAUUACAAUUGAUAUUCUGCUUUUGUGUUUCUGGUAUAAGAUGGAACAACGGGUAAGAAAAAACCCAACAAUGAGUCCAUAAGAGAAUCUCCUUACCAUUACCCACCACCCAUCUCAAACCCAUAUCAAUAACAUGCCUACCUAAAUUACACAAUGAGUUUUAUAUGUACUUUAAUUUCAUUACCUUGUGAGCCUUCCUUGCAUGCUGGAUGAAAUGGUUUGCCCCUCCUUGUGGUAAUACUUUUGUUUCUUACGAUUAUAUAAAUUUUGCUUGAAAACAUCCUACAUUUAAAGGUCAUUAAUUAACAAGAAAUACAUAUCUAGUUUCAUACCACAAACUACUUAUUCAGUGUAAUUUUAAAACAUUCAACUUUUAUAAAGAUCAAAUUGAUAUCACUACUAAUGAUUCUAAAAGAUAAGUCCUAAUAUUAUCCCCCAAGGUGUCUCACCUCUUGAACACACCUGCACAACUGACCAUACCACCCAUUGUACAUCUAGAGAACUCCCGAAUUCUUCAUUAACAGCAAGGCAAGGACAACAAAGCAUGGAUAAGGUUGUAUGUGAUUUCAGAGGGAGAGGAGGAGAAUGUGGGGUUGGAGUUGCAACCCUAGUUAUUUCGAUUGUUAUUAUACAAUCUAAGAGCUCAAAUUCAUAUAAGCAUUACUUAUGGCUCAGCCCCUGCUCAAAUCCUUGUAAAUUUUUGUAAGUUUUCUAAGACACCAAGGUAAAACAAAAUCAUCAUCGAGCAACAAAAACACAACCACCAUGCCCCAUUGAAAGCAAAGGCACAAAUUAUUCAUAGGAGCAAAUUAAGCACAACUAUUAUAUAUGGCAAAAUUACAGUACUUGAAAAAUUAAUAGGACCUAAUCUCAAGUCGGUGAAAGAGUUACUUGGGCCUUAUCAAAGGCUAGAGCUCCAUGGGAAGAGAUGGGAAACACAUCUUAGAUAAACAUACAAUUAAACAAGCUUUCUGUUUCUAAAAAAUUCAAAUAGAACACAUAAUAGAGACAUGCCUAAGCCAGACAAAAAUUAUAGAAGUAAAGGAAAUCAUAUCAUGGUAGCUUGAUUCUUCAAAUUGUAACCAAAUACCUUUAUAACAGCAACACAUGCAAUUGAUGCCAAAAAAAUCACUAAAUAAUAACAAAUUAGAUAAAAAUAAAUGGGGUUUAAAUAGAACAAAGCAUGCGAAAUCUGAUAAUUAGCAAAUUAGUCAUAAAAAAGGAUUAAAUUGAACAAAAACUACAAAACCCUAAUAAUAUGUUAAAUUAGGGAACUACAAAUUUUAAGUUAAUUUAAAAAAAAAAAUGAAACAAAACCCCUUACUAAUUACCUCAAAUAAGCAAAAUCCCUUCAACGAUUCGUGGACACAAAGGCAGUCUCGUUGGUGUGGGACUUAUGGCGUGGAAUUGGGUUGUUUAUGGAGCAUGACAGAGAGAGGAAGACGGAUGUGGAGGAGGAAGGCUACUGGUUUGCUCAAUUUUGGGGGCAAUUAUCUGCAAAUUCAAAACCCUAAGUUAAAAAGAAUUGAUAAUAAAUGAAACAAUUUUACCCAAAUAGAGACUUGGGAAGGUGAAUCCUUGGAUGCGGAAGUGAAGGGCUACUCGAAGCUCAAUAUUGGAGACAGAUACCCUUUGAAUCCAGCACAAAAAUCAUAAUUGAACAAAAGGAGAACUAUUGGACGACAAAUCGAGGUAGUCUGGUUGGUGCGGGGCAUGAAUUUGGCUUGUUGGUUGAAUAGGUCUCUAGGGUUUUUGGUUGUGGAGAGUGAUAGAGAGCGAAGGGAUGAGAGAGGAUCUGAGCGAUUGGCUCGGAAGAUCCUGGUACUGUUGUAGUAAAGACAGAACAAAAUUGAGGGAUGAGACGGCCAGCGGAUUUUAGGUCACGGUGAUGGAGAGAUGGGAGAAGUCUGAGAGCGAGAAGAGGAAAGUGAAUGAGAGACGGGGAAUAUUCUCAAAAAAAAUUAAUAUUUGAUUCAGUCUAUUAUUUUGUUGGAACUUUAUUCCUUCUUUGUAAUGUGAUGACCACUUUCCUCACAAAAGAUUCAAAUAUGUGACCCACUUUGAAAUUCCUCGCAUACCCUAUUUCAUAUGGCGCCAUUUUGUCCCGCCAUAUAUUUUAUUAAGGACUUAGAAAAUUUUGUGCCACUACUUCUUCAUUUUAAAGGAUAUUAAAUAAUUGGUGAUGCUUGCCGUAUUUGUCACUUAAUUUUGGAAUAUGUGACGUAUUUAUUGUCACAUAAGUUGGUCCAAAUUUCGUACCUAGCAAACCAAUUAUGUGUGACACGUUUAACAUUUCGUCACAUAAUUUUCUUAUAUGUGACAAAUAUUUGGGCGUCGCAUAUAAUUUGGUCACCUUUUCCAUGUUUUCUUGUAGUGUUUCAUUUAACCAGCAUCCAUUCACAGUGGCACAGUCUAGUAUUUCAUAAACCCUUCUACUGCCAUUUUAAUUAUUGCACCAAGUAAAUGGGACCCUAAGGCAUUGAGAGAAAUAAGUCUCCCUUUAUUAAGGAAAUCCAGAAAUCUAUUCAUGAACACUGUGGUUACUUGACAACCACCCUUCUUCUCAGGUAAAUCCCAGAUAUUAUUGAAAUCCCCCAUUAAGCACCAAGGUUUAUCCCCUGAAUCUAGCUAUAGUAAAUCUUCCCAAAGACUAACCUAGAGAUGCUUUUGAGGAAAGGCAUAAACAAAGGUAACUAGAGAUUCAAAGUUUAAGGCCUUAUCAGUCACUAAACAAUGAACAAAAUGAGAAGAACUGGCAAUCACAAUAAUAAUAACUUUGGCAGAGUUCCAAAAUAGAACCAAAGCCCCAUCUCUACCAGUGGGAUCACAGCUAACAAACUGAUCAAAUUAGCUACCAUAAAAGUUCCCUUAGACCUUAUCCACAUUCAUUUUGGUUUCCAUUAAACAAAACAUGUUAAUUAUAAAACUAGUACAUAAAAAACUAAAAUUACUUUUAAAAUUCGGCCUCCAUAUGCCCCUACAAUUCCAAGUCAUAGACUUCAUUAGUCAAUUUCUUCAAGUUGGCUCUUGUAGGUUGCCUCUGCUUCUGUAAACUCCUCGCGGAUUCUCUUCCUUGGACUUAUCAGCCCUACAGUUGGUCUGGUUAGAACCUGAGUGUCCUCAGCAACCAUGCUAGCCACCACAGCAUCCCAAACACUUCUACUAUUUUCCCCCACAAACUUACUACCCUCUUGCACACUUACAUCCUGGACACAAACACAUCAAUCAACCACUACCAAACUAGAAGCAUGAUCAAAGUAGUACAUGCAAACAUACUUAAAAUAAACCAAACACAGACAUAAUUUAUUUUCAAGAAAAUUCAACCAUGGGUUAUCUUCCAAACAAUCACUCUGCAUAGUACCUUUUAACAAUUAACAUGCUAGGCAAAGAAUCAGACUCAUUUGACUCAAACCAAAUCAGGUAGUUAAAACAUAUAAUUUCCUCCUGCUUCUGCUCUGUGCCCUUGUCUGUUUUUCCUCCAAUCCUGCACAAGAUCCGCAUGAGCCACCCACUUAUACUUAGAACCUUUGUUGCUCUCUUUGGGAACAUUGUCUUCCCAAACCUUCACAUUAGCUCUUUGCUUAUCAGCCCUUUAGCGCCAUCUUGGGAUCACCGUUGUCCAACCCUCCUCAUCAGGACCUUCACCAUCAUUUUUUUGAACUCCCUUUUCUGCUUCCAUGUUUUCCUCUUCCUAUGUCACAGCUACAGGGAAACACUGCAGCACAUUACUUUGUAAAGCUUCCUUUAUGUCCCUUCCACUUAAAGAUCCUCCAGGAAAAUUCUUAGUUCAUCAUCAAAUACUUUCUCAAUCAUGAAACAACCAUCAUCGACCUCCUCUUCAAGACAAUAGUGGUUGCCACCCCUCUUACAUCCGCAGUAGAAUCACACUUCAAAGAUUUUUUCAUAGCUCACUAGAAUUGGGUUUUUGUCAUCUUGAUUUACUAGUAGGACUCUCUUUAGCAGAAACCUUAAGUCCACUUCGACUAACACCUUGACAAACAAACCAUUGAGACUAAGAGUAACCUCAUCAACCCUCCAAAUAUCUCUCAAAGGCUACGCAAUGGUCUUGAUGAUUUUGUCCUUGUACUGCAGAGGAAGCUUUGGUAGCCUAGCCCAAAGAACAAGCUUGCUGAUAGCAUCCAUGUCGCUGAAUUGUGUCGUCCAUCUCUCCAAAUGAAAUACCUGACCAUGAACAUACAAAGGCCUAUUGCUGAAGACGAAGUCCAAGUCACCAACAUCCAAGAAUUCCAGUGCAAAUCAUCUCAUACCAUAGUGAUUGAGGUAAAAGUUGUUCUUUACCCCAUUCUUCCUAAGAAACCCUAGCUUCCAUUUGAUUAAGCAAGCCUUCAGAUGUUGGUCGAACAUCUUACCCAUGAGAACAUGAGACUUCAUGUGCUCCACAUUAAGGUUAGAGCACAGAGUGUACUACCCUAGUAACCUCGCACUCCAUGUAAAGGUUCCAAACGCUUUCUUAGCAACUACAGGUUCUUCCCCAAGUUGGGGAAGGGGAAAAGGUUCACCCACCAAGGAACAUACUGGUCUGAACAAAUCCUGGGUCUCCUAGGUAAGAGGAAGAAGAAGUGAAAAAUUGGGAGUUGGCUAUUGUAGUGAGAUGGAACAAACAAGGUAAAAAACCAAGCAGAAAAGAUAGGAUGAGCCCCUUCCAUGUCCAAACCUCACUUAACUAUCUAACAUUUGGGGGAUCCAACCGUUAAGGAAUAGGAUACACUUCCAAUGCAAGGCAGAGUAUUCCCAACAUGACAUAAGAUAAACCUCAUGAUGAAAAUACUUAACAGAUAAUUGGGCACAUCAAACUGCACAAUCCAAGUUACCAAGUAAGAGUGGUAUAAUCCAUACCUCAUUAAUCUGGCAUCACAAACCAAAGCAGCAAAUAAGCAUAACCGACACACAUAUAUAACCAAUACCAGGAUUAAAGGUGCAAUAACCAAGGAAGCAUGGAAAAAGCAAUAAUUAGCACAACUCAAAAACCUAAGCACAAAUAGCAUGGCAGAAAACCAGCAAAUCAAGAGGUCAGAACACCAAGCGUUUAAACACUCAAUUGAAGAUCCUCUAAGCCUAUGAGACUUACACUCACAAACCCUAAUUACCUAAAACCCUAGCACCAAUAAUUUAAGUCCCCUCCACUUCAAACCAGACCAAUCUCAGCCAAGGAAGAGCCACGUUUGAAACCAAAACCAGCAAAAGCNNNNNNNNNNNNNNNNNNNNNNNNNNNNNNNNNNNNNNNNNNNNNNNNNNNNNNNNNNNNNNNNNNNNNNNNNNNNNNNNNNNNNNNNNNNNNNNNNNNNNNNNNNNNNNNNNNNNNNNNNNNNNNNNNNNNNNNNNNNNNNNNNNNNNNNNNNNNNNNNNNNNNNNNNNNNNNNNNNNNNNNNNNNNNNNNNNNNNNNNNNNNNNNNNNNNNNNNNNNNNNNNNNNNNNNNNNNNNNNNNNNNNNNNNNNNNNNNNNNNNNNNNNNNNNNNNNNNNNNNNNNNNNNNNNNNNNNNNNNNNNNNNNNNNNNNNNNNNNNNNNNNNNNNNNNNNNNNNNNNNNNNNNNNNNNNNNNNNNNNNNNNNNNNNNNNNNNNNNNNNNNNNNNNNNNNNNNNNNNNNNNNNNNNNNNNNNNNNNNNNNNNNNNNNNNNNNNNNNNNNNNNNNNNNNNNNNNNNNNNNNNNNNNNNNNNNNNNNNNNNNNNNNNNNNNNNNNNNNNNGCAUUCCUUGUUGGUAUAGCCAUCCAAUUGUGCUUUCAGCAACGCAGAAAAGAAAUAAAUUCCUUGCUGGUGCUUUCAGCAAUUCAACUGGGUUUUCCACAACGGAACCUGCGGUGGUGUUCCGAGGGGGAGGGGCGCUCCAUGACGGGAGGAAAAUGGCAGCUGAGUUUGUAGAUCAAGCAGCAAAAGAGGAACUUGAAGCGGAGUUUUUACUUGGGCUCUGCUGGUAAGUGAAGAAUCAGCUUUUUCAGAAAUUGGUUGGUUUGGUAUACAGUCAAUUUCUUUUUGUUCUUAAGCAUUGAAUUAUUUAAUUUCUUCUUCUAAGCAUUGAAUGAUCUAAAUUUGCAUUAAGAAAUUAAAUAAAAAGAAAGAUAAAAUGGAGCAACAAAACUACCACUUGCUCUGUGUACGUGGAUUGGUGCAUCCCAUCUUGUUUUGUUGUCCUUGAUUCAUUAGACAAGCGGAAUUCGAGGAGCUAAAGCGGAUUGUAGCUCCCAUGGAGAAAAUUUUAGUUGUGACGGCAAUGUGUAAAUCUACGCAAUGUUUUAGCAACUCCGGCACCGGAGAUGCUGUUUUUAAUAUGUACCCGCUCUUUAUUACCGUCACCAUCACAAUUUAGAGCAUGAGCGGUGACUGAGAGUGUUAAAACUGGUGGUAGCGCCCCAUUUAACACCCCAGCACCAUAUGGACUGUUAUCGUUUGGUAAUAUGUUAUUUUGUAUGAUUCGGUUUUGUAAUUACAACCAAGGGGAGCUGAUAAUUUUGGUUUUAUUGGCAGAAAAGUGAUGGUCUAGGGGAAAACAUUGGUUGUAUCUGUCAGUUCCACGCCUUCAUCUGCAGCUGCUACACCUUUCAGACAAUAGCAAUAGUCAACCUCAAUGGAUUCGAAGAAAUCCAUGCCCAAGUUGCUCGAUCUUUUGAAAAGAGCCAAGGCUGUGGUCAAGGACCCUGAGGCAGUUGGACUCUUGGGACUUGAAGAGAGAAGCUUCUCCAAAUGGAAAAUAAAGAGUUGCUACCCAAAGUGAAGCUCUUUGAUCAAACUUUGUCGAAGCAAUUCACUGCCCUAGAACGCGGACUUGGAAAGAUUAUCUUGGGAGCUGAAAUCACUUCCAUGAGCGAAAAGGAUAUGAAGAACACCCUAGAUCUCAUGAAAGAAAGUGUCGAUCAGAUAUUUAAAGACACAAUCCCUCUAGUGGAGAGAAUGACCGCCCCAGGACCCAUUUCAGAGCCACAGGUGCAUCGGUCUAAGGUCGAUCAGUCAGGACUAGAUCAGAAGAUGUCACAAGAGUGGUCACAACUGGGCCUGGAGGAUAUAAUUUAUGAGACUCCUGCCAUGGCUAAAACAAGGAGGACUUACGAAGAUCUUGAAAGCAUGGAUUUGAAGCUGUGCUUCCUCUCUUUCUCAAUCUUCCCGGAUGGUUCCGUGAUGAAGAAGAGGCCUCUGAUUUACUGGUGGAUUGGCGAGGGCUUCAUCACGUCCACCCAACAGAAGACAGCAGAAGAGGUAGGAGAAGAUAUAUUUGAAAAACUAAUGAGAAAGGGCUUGAUUAAUCAAACUGGCUCAAAGCCAUCCUCCUGUCCGUUUGUAAAGAGUUGUGCAUUGAACCCUUGGAUACGUCGUAUGUUGGUCGCCUUGGCCAGCAAAGCUAGGCUGUUUCACUUUGAUUCAGAAUGGCGAAGAAUGCCAUCUUAUGAUACCUUAACCUGUAGGCGUGCAUGCUUAGUUUAUAAUAAUCAAAUUCGUCAGGGUGAUGAUGGCCCAAAGGUGGACGAUCUGUUGACUGUAUUCAAUGUCAAUGCGCAAUAUCUUGGUUUGAAAAGAGAAUGGCUUAAUAAGUUGAAGAAGGUUGCGGUUCUUCAGCUUGGGCGCUGGCAGGACUCGGCUACGCAUCAUAUUGAGGUGGAUGAUGAAGACUUUGUGAACCAAGAAGAUGUGGGAUUUCUAAAAGGUUUGGGGACUCAGAAUAAGCACUUGAAGUAUCUUAGCCUCAGAGGAAUAUCAAGAAUUACCCAACUCCCCUCUUCUAUCCUUAAUCUUAGAAGCCUUGAGAUUCUGGAUCUUCGAGCAUGUCACAACUUAGAGACGAUGCCUUCAGAUAUCUCCGCAUUAAGGAAGCUCACCCAUUUGGAUAUGUCGGAGUGCUACUUGCUUGAACGCAUGCCAAAAGGGCUUGACAAACUCUCUUCGCUCCAAGUUCUGAAAGGUUUUCUCCUAGGGCCUUCGAAAAAUAGUCCCUGUAAACUUGGUGAUCUCGCCAAGUUGAAGAAUUUGAAGCGGCUCAGUAUACACAUGGGGAAUGAGUCUGAAGUUCAAAAGGGGGAACUCAACAAGUUGAAGGACAUUUCAUCUCUUUGCCGCCUUAAAAUAUCUUGGGGUUUGGUUUCUUCCGAGUUAAAAGACCAAAUUGCCAAUGAAUUCUCAUUUCCACCGCCGAAUUUGGAAAAAUUGGACCUCCAAGGUAUCCCCCUAGAGCACGUACCAAGAUGGCUGAACCCGAGACAACUCGGAAAUUUAAAGAAGCUGUACAUAAGGGGUGGAGAACUUUCCAGCUUAGAUCAUGGGGUGACUGGUGCUGUGUGGAAGGUAGAAAUCUUGCGUCUCAAGUACUUGAAGAAAUGGGACAAAGAUUGGCAAAAGUUGAAGGGGUCUUUUCCUCAUCUGCAGCACUGGGAUGUGGAGGAGGCCCACUGUUGCGAGGUUAAAAAGGACGUAAGAUGAAGAGAUCGGUUUGGAGUGAAGCUGAAGGCUAGGGAGUACGUAAUUUAACGAUACGAUCCAGGUUGUCAAAUCUAUUUUCUACUCUUGAGUAGUUGAUUGUUGUUCUACUGUCUCAGCAACUUUGUUGUCAAGUUCAUAAACAAUGUCUUUAGGCUAAGUUUGGGCCAAGGAUUUCCAAUUCCCCGGGGGAUUGAUGCCAAGUUAGCAGGGGGUGGAGCACAAAAUCUUAGAUAACACAAGUUGGCGGUGUUAGCAUCGCCGUCGUGAAACUGUGAAAUGAGAGGCCUUGGUGGUGUUGUUACUCUUAAAUUCUUAAUCUAGCUUUGUACGUCUUAAUCGUUCAUAUAUGUAAUCUAACGCUCAUAAUUCGACAUGAAACUCUGAUUAGUGCAGAGAUCAUGCAUGUUGGGUAAAGUUUUCCAUGAAAGCUGUUUUUGAGCAAUUAUUUGGUAAUAGACUCUAAAGGGUUUUUCUAGACGAUUGUCUUACCUAACUACUUAAAAAGUAUCACAAAAACUAAAAAGUAUCACAAAAACUAGGCUUCUGUUUCAACUGACUAGCCACCGAAAACUAAUUAGUAGACUUGCACUUAUCUAAAUUCAACUUAAUUUUAUACACAGACACCAGACACUGAGGCACACUCACACAAAUUUUCAAUAUUUUUGGAGUUAAUUUCUAUUUUAAUUAAAUCCAACAAAAACAGGACAUGAACAAAGUAAAUAGCUCGAAAAUAUAAGGAACUAACUAAGAAAAGACAAAGUGAAUUUGAACAGUUCAUAUAUACUGCAGAUCAUCUACAAGAACCUUGAAAACAGUUAUGUGGAAAGAGAGGUAUGAACAUGGUUACGAAAGCUAGAACCACCCGUCGAUUGAUUCUCUCUAUCGUGACUCAUUCACUGUUUCCGUCGACACCACAUGUACAUCAUAAUGUUCAAUCAUCCCUUGUUCAAUCUUUUAAUACGGGACAAAAGAGAGAGGAAUGAAGGCACCUUGUUUGAAAUCACGGUAAACAGCCUUUAAAACCCUUUUCCAACUCUUGUGCAUCCAAGUUCUUCCCUAUGAAAACGAUCCUGUUUGUUCUUUGGCUCGUUGGGGCCCCACAGCCGAUCAGGUGAGCCUUGGAAUAUAUCAUGGACUCCCUGUUACCCAAUGGAAAAACAUUAUUACAAAAAUAUACACAAACAAAGAUAAACAUUGACCAAAUUUGUUCAGAACUGCAUAUCUAGCUUCUUUAUCAGAAUCAUCACCAACUAAGAACUUUGGCAUGCAAGAAGAGUAUCAUGAGUAAACAAUAAUGGCAUGAUUCAACAAAUGCGUUAAAAAAAACGUCAACAUUAGCAGCUUCUCUUACCCAACCUAAAUUGAACCCUUCCACGACAAACUCCCACUCCCAUUCUACUUGGUAAUUUAUUAACAAGUGACAAUUGACCAUUACUAAUAGGGUAAACUGUCGGUUUACCCCCUGAACUUUCACCUCACUUUCGAUUUCCCCCCUGAACUUUUCUAUUGGAAAAUUAAGGACUCAAACUAAUUUUUUUAGCCAAUUUGCCCCCUACCGUUAGUUUCAUAUAUUCAUCCAUAUUUCGUUAAGUGAACCAUGUGCAUAACUGUGGGAUGUUAAGUCAUUUCAAUUUAAAAAUGAUUAAAAACUGAAAUAAAUAAAAAUAAUUUCCCUCUAUUUUUUCCCGCUAAUUCCUAUUCCUCAAUUUUAAUUUCCCUUCUCAUUCCUAUGCAUGAGAAAUAACAUAUGUUAUGUCUUCAUAAGUAGCUAAUUAUUUUUUUGGAAGCAUGUACUACCAUUUUAUUUUCUCUAACAAAUUAAUAAUUUGACAAAUGCUUAUGUGUUAUUGUCUCCAAGCAGUGCAUUAAUAUAAGAACAUGUCCAUAAAAAGACUAGGGUUUCUAUAUUAAUGCACUGCUUUGGAGAAUAGCACCAUUGCAUUUGUCAAAUUAUAAUUUGUUAGAGAAAAUAAAAAUGUAGACAAUAACACCAUAUUCAUUUCCAGCAUAGGAAUGAGAGACAAAAAUAAAAUCAGAGGAUAGGAAUUAGCGGAAAAUUAGAGGAAAGUUUUGCUUUUUUAUAUAUUUUUAGUUUUUAAUAUUUUAAGAGUGAAUGACUUAAUACCUCACAUUAGUGACAUGGUUCACUAACGAAUAUGAUGGAAAUAUGAAACAACGGUAGGGCAAAUUGGCUAAAAAAAUUAGUUUGAGUCCUUAAUUUUCCAAUGGAAAAGUUCAGGGGGGAAAUCGAAAGUGAGGUGAAAGUUCAGGGGGUAAACCGACAGUUUACUCUUACUAAUAAAGCAUUCAGGUUAAAGUAUAACAUAAGACAAAAACAAUGCUUACCGGGGACCAAGGUUUCAGAAAUUCAAACUUUAAAUUGUCCUCACAGGCAAUGCUCGGGAUAAAGAAAACGCGAUGCUUAUUUCGAUGAGAUUCUCCUACCAAUUAUCUCAAUUUCAAAUAUAUAAGUAAAUGAUUAUAACACUCGACGGACUACUCACCUGGAAGACAAUCUCUCAUUCAUUCCUUGGACAGAUAGUAGACCUUUCAUACGAUAUAUGUCCUCGCUUCGUUCCAACAACAGCGUACCAAGCCAUAUGUUAGGCUGAAUUAAAUUACGAUGAAAUCAGUAGUCUUUGCCAGGUUUUCUUUCAUACAUUCCAGAAAAAGACACUAAAUGCAACUGGCCAUUAAAUGUGUACUUGUGUCAUCAAAGGCAACAGGUAAACCAAAAGACAAAGUAGGCAAUUAUCAUAUAUAUUGCAAAAUAAGACGAAACACAAAUCCAAACUUUUCAAGAUCUAGGCUCCCUUCACAAACCAUGCUGACAGAAGAAACCCCAGGAUCAUGAACAUGAUCAUGGGAUCUGCAUAUCCAUGUCAAACGUGUGGAUAUUAUUCCAUAAAUCCAUAUAAAAGUAGUAGUAAUGUCAAAUUACAAUUUUUGUGCAAGAUCGGAACUCGUACAACAACAACAACAACAACAACAAAGCCUUUUCCCACUAAGUGGGAUCAGCUAUAUGAAUCCUAGAACGCCAUUGCGCUCGGUUUUGUGUCAAGUCCUCCGUUAGAUCCAAGUACUCGAAGUCUUUUCUUAGGGUCUCUUCCAAAGUUUUCCUAGGUCUUCCUCUACCCCUUCGGCCUUGAACCUCUAUCCCGUAGUCACAUCUUCGAACCGGAACGUCAGUAGGUCUUUUUUGCACUUGUCCAAACCCAUUUUGUGUACGUGUUGAUGCUUCACCGCCCAACAUUCUGUGCAACAACAUCGCCGGCCUUAUUGUCGUCCUAUAAAAUUUUCCCUUGAGCUUUAGUGGCCUACGACGGUCACACAACACGCCGGAUGCACUCUUCCACUUCAUCCAUCAGCUUAUUCUAUGGUUGAGAUCUCCAUCUAAUUCUCCGUUCUUUUGCAAGAUAGAUCCUAGUAGCGAAACGGCCGCUCUUUGGUAUUUUCCUGAUCUCGUCCUCACCCCUAACUCAUUUGGCCACCAUUUGCAUGAACUUGCAUCCUAUAUAUUUGUCUUUGAUCAACUUAGGCGAAGACCUUUAGAUUCCAACCUUCCUCCAAAGGUAAGCUUGCAUUUACCCCUCUUGAGUUCAUCUAUCAACACUAUAUCGUUGCGAAAAGCAUACCCAAGGAAUAUCAUCUGAAUAAGUAUGUUAACUCAUCCAUUACCAAACGCAAAAAGGUAAGGACUUAAGAUUUGAGCACAAAAUCAGUGGACUUUGAUAAAAGAAAGUAUAAGUUUGUGAUCUUCGCUAGAUUGUCUGGUAUUAGUGUGGAUAAGUAUGUAAAUGGAUAGAGACAGGAAAGCAAACCAAGAUGUAUGUGUUCACGGUUGGCUACGUCCAGGAGUAGAGGAAGUCUCAAUUAAUUGUGAAGGUUUACACAAGUACAUAGUUCAGCUCUCCUUUAGUGAGUAAAGUGAAUGAUUUGUACAAAUGACUUAGGAAUAUUGUGGGAGAUGAUCUCGUAAUCAGAACUUCUAAGUACCGAAGUGUGGUAUCGUCUCAUUGCCUCUAUCUGUCUCAUAGGUAGUGUGCAUCUUCUCUGAAAGUACUCUUCCUCCAUCUAGGGGUGGUAUGUUUAACUAGUCGGAGAUGCAAAGGUAAGUGUCAAUUUCACUUGAAGCUUACUUGUAAUUUCAGGUUUCAGCAGAUAAAACCCAUGUAGUGGAGUCCCCAAGUCGCCGAGCUAGGGAUCUGUGAAAAGAGGUGAUAGAGCAAAGUAAGCAAUCAGAGCUGCUAAGCAAUUCAGCUUAGAUCAGAAGUUUGAUUUCGAGUUCCAGCUGAUUGUUCUCAUUCUCCCUAUCUUACAGGCAGCAUAAAGGAUAAAGAGAAGAAAAGGAGAAUAAAUGAUAUGAGAUACUUUUGCUUUGAAGAAGUAACUUUCCACAGGCUUAUUCUUGAACUAGGCUGGAGGGUUUUUCUGGUUUCCUCCAGAGUAUAAGGUGACUGAAGAAUUUUGAGGGUCAAAACAAGUCCAUCAAAUCUAGAGUACGUUCGACCCUGCUGAUAUGGAUACUUUUGAUGUUGACAAAGUAGUGGAUGUAUCGCACGUGUUUCUGUUACGCUUGUCUCCACAUGCUUCCUUGUAUCCUUCUCACUUUCCCUAUCUGUUCCUCAGGCAGAUGUGGUAUCUUCUCUGGAAGCAUAAGAUGUUGAAGAUGAGUACUCGAGAGCAAUGCUAGGUAAGUAAUCAGGUAAAGGGUUCCAGGCAGUCAGUUCCUAACUGGAAGCUUGAUUCCAAGUGCUGACUGAUUGCUCUCUUUCUCCUUGUCUUGGAGGUAAGAACAAGGCCAAAGGAAAAGACAGGGAAAAGCAUGAUAUGGGGAUACUCUUGCUUUUAACCCUGAUGAUAUAGAUAUUCUUGCUCUGGUGUAGCUUGUUCGCAGAGGUAUUAUCGGGGGGAAAGAAAGCUGAGUAUUUCGAGAGGCUUCGUUGGGAGUGCCCUCUCAGAUAUGAGGAAGGAUUGAGCAUUUUUGCACGUCUGCCUGUCCGUUGAGGAUGGAGGUCGACAUAUAUAGGAGUCUCCCUAACAAUAAGUAGUAAUGAUAUUCCUUUACCCCUGCUUGGUCAUAGCACGGUAGUGGGAGCUGCCAGCUUCACGUGUGUCAGAGCACUUUGAAAAAGUGGUAUGUGGUAUCUGGAAAGCUGAUGUUGCGUGUGAAGAUUACAGACAAGCUUUAUCCAAGGAAAUUUGGCUCUCGAAGUUGAGAAGCGGUGCCUCUUCGAUUUUCAAACAAGCAAUCCUGUCGGGGAUCUGGCUCUCGAGAUUCGGAGAACGGUGCCUCUUCUAUUUUUGAGAGAGCAAUCCUGCUGGGAGUCUGGCUCUCGAGAUUCGAAGAGCGGUGUCUCUUCGAUUUUUGAGAAAGUAAUCAUGUUGGGAGUCUGGCUCUCGAGAUUCGGAGGACGGUGCCUCUUCAAUUUUGGAGCAAGCAAUCUUGUUCGGAGUGUUUUUUCGAAUGUGAGUAAAGGUUGGGCAUGUUUGCUAGUCUACCUUGCCACGGAGCACAGAGGUUGACACACAAGGACUUUCCAAUUAUCCAGCAGUGGUGCUGUUCCUUUACCCUUGUGGGUAAUCAUAUGGUAGCUAAACCCUUCAAAAUUUAUGUGUCUAAACUUUGUUAGUGCUGUUUCUUUGCUAUUCUUUUACCCUUCUUGGUCAUAGCGAUGUAGUGAGAGCUGCAAGCUUCACGUGUUAAACUUUGUCAGAGAUCUUUGGCAAGUAUCUGUGGUACCAUGAGCUGAUGGUGCGUGUGAAAGUGGAUGAAUGAACAGUAAGAUUCACGUGCUUUCCUACUUCACCAGAAACCUUCACAGAAUGCCCGUAAUUUCAGCAAAGCUGAGUGGCAUGUGACAGGUGCUGACAAGGCUGAAAAAAGCAGGUGCCUCUUCGAUUUCUGAGAUCGGCCCUGUGGUCUCUGAGCAGCCCAGCUUUGAGAAAGCAAGCGCCUCUUCGAUUUCUGAGAUCAUCCUUCGUGGUCUUUGAGCAGCCCAGCUUUUGAGAAAGCAAACGCCUCUUCGAUUUCUGAGAUCGGCCUUCGUGGUCUCUGAGCAGCCCAGCUUUUGAGAAAGCAAACUGAUAGGAGCAUAUUUAUGCACCUUAGUUAACUAGUUCUUAUGCAUUUUCGUUAUGUUUUCUUAGUUUAAAGUAGUCUUUUAAGCUAGUUUUCAUAUGUUUUCAGGUUUAAGGGCAUAUUACAUAAAAGGAUGCAAAUUUGGAGCUUUCGGAGCAAAAUGGAGCUUAGAUUGGAAAGUACAUGCUUGGAGCACAAGGAAUGGACGAGUUUGAAGGUCAAAGGAGCUUAAGAAAUGAAGAAAUGAAAGUGAAGAACAAAAGAAUUCAGAAUUGGAAACCAAAGUUUCUAAAGUUGGAAGUUUCUAUUCUUGGAGGUUUCCAUUUUUGAGAGUUUCUAUCCUUGGCUUUGGGCUUUUAGAUGACCUAUCAUUUUCCCCUAACCCUAGCCGCACCUAGGCCUCUAGAAUAUCUGGUUUCCUUGCCUUGCAAGGCAUUCUAGAAGGCCCAUCUCUAACCCUAACCCUAGCCGCACCUUAGGCCUUAUUCCCACUAAAAAUCUGAUUGUUUUAACCUAAUUUCUGAUGGGUUUGGGUUUUAGAGGCCCUAAUCUGAUUGCCCUAGGGUUUUGGAUGCCUAUUUAUACACAUUCUAAACCUUGGCCGAACACCAUCUCCCAUUCACAUCAUUUCACGCCAGAAUUUGUUCCUUGCUCUCUGCCGCACCUUUUCAUCACCAUAGUCCAUAAUUUCUGCCCAAAAACAACCCUAGCCGCACCACUCAUCAACCCUAAACCGUUCCCUACCAUUCCCCAUCCAUUCUAGACCCUAAAUACCACCCAAAACCUGUUCUAAACUUCUCUGCCGCAGCAAGGAGGAAGGAGAAAUCACUGAUGAUCUUGCUGCCAAGUUGGAGCGUUCUAGGUGUUUUCUUUCUUUGGAUUUUAAUUUCUAAUUUUAUGUAUCUUUGCUUUGCGAGUAUGAGGAACUAAAACCCCCCUUGGCUAGGGGGGAUUCAAAACCAUGAUUAUAUAUGUGAAAUAAGUUGAUUCCUUUCAGUUAUCGUUGCAUAAGUUGUGAAUACAAUUUGCUUAACCGUUUGAUUUAGAACUUAUUCUUGUAUGUUGAUUGAGAGUGCACGCUUAAUUUGCAUGCUUGAAUUUGGUGCUAGGAUAUAAGUUUGUUUCACCUAAUCGUUAUGAAUUUAUAUUCGCAAGUAGUGAAGAUCGCUAGUCACGAUCGUGUUAAGUAGAUUCCUGGCAAGAGUAUCAUGCUUUUCAUAGUUACGAAUGCCUUGUCGAUGCUUAUGAUUUCCAAAGAAAGUAAUGAUUCUAACUUGUAUCUUUAUCAUGCUGUUCAUAUAGAGAACUUGUUAGGAAUAAUUUGUUUG